RNAcentral lists this ribosomal RNA (652 nucleotides) under Staphylococcus aureus. Its description in RNAcentral is "partial 23S ribosomal RNA". It matches the Rfam family "Bacterial large subunit ribosomal RNA", at positions 1582 to 2235 of the family's 2925-position model. The record is from RNAcentral. Lineage: Bacteria; Bacillati; Bacillota; Bacilli; Caryophanales; Staphylococcaceae.
GUCUUCGAGUCGUUGAUUUCACACUGCCGAGAAAAGCCUCUAGAUAGAAAAUAGGUGCCCGUACCGCAAACCGACACAGGUAGUCAAGAUGAGAAUUCUAAGGUGAGCGAGCGAACUCUCGUUAAGGAACUCGGCAAAAUGACCCCGUAACUUCGGGAGAAGGGGUGCUCUUUAGGGUUAACGCCCAGAAGAGCCGCAGUGAAUAGGCCCAAGCGACUGUUUAUCAAAAACACAGGUCUCUGCUAAACCGUAAGGUGAUGUAUAGGGGCUGACGCCUGCCCGGUGCUGGAAGGUUAAGAGGAGUGGUUAGCUUCUGCGAAGCUACGAAUCGAAGCCCCAGUAAACGGCGGCCGUAACUAUAACGGUCCUAAGGUAGCGAAAUUCCUUGUCGGGUAAGUUCCGACCCGCACGAAAGGCGUAACGAUUUGGGCACUGUCUCAACGAGAGACUCGGUGAAAUCAUAGUACCUGUGAAGAUGCAGGUUACCCGCGACAGGACGGAAAGACCCCGUGGAGCUUUACUGUAGCCUGAUAUUGAAAUUCGGCACAGCUUGUACAGGAUAGGUAGGAGCCUUUGAAACGUGAGCGCUAGCUUACGUGGAGGCGCUGGUGGGAUACUACCCUAGCUGUGUUGGCUUUCUAACCCGCACCAC